CACGUACUGUGCGAACGUUAAUCGGAAUUACUGGGCGUAAAGCGAGCGCAGGCAGUUCUGUAAGACAGAUGUGAAAGCCCCGGGCUUAACCUGGGAAUUGCAUUUGUGACUGCAGAGCUAGAGUGUGUCAGAGGGAGGUAGAAUUCCGCGUGUAGCAGUGAAAUGCGUAGAUAUGCGGAGGAAUACCGGUGGCGAAGGCGGCCUCCUGGGAUAACACUGACGCUCAUGCUCGAAAGCGUGGGAAGCAAACAGG
Molecule: ribosomal RNA, 253 nt
Filed under: uncultured bacterium
Lineage: Bacteria
Description: partial 16S ribosomal RNA
Rfam family: Bacterial small subunit ribosomal RNA
Source: RNAcentral